Molecule: ribosomal RNA, 465 nt
Filed under: uncultured Klebsiella sp.
Lineage: Bacteria; Pseudomonadati; Pseudomonadota; Gammaproteobacteria; Enterobacterales; Enterobacteriaceae
Description: bacterial SSU rRNA
Rfam family: Bacterial small subunit ribosomal RNA
Source: RNAcentral
CCUACGGGUGGCUGCAGUGGGGAAUAUUGCACAAUGGGCGCAAGCCUGAUGCAGCCAUGCCGCGUGUGUGAAGAAGGCCUUCGGGUUGUAAAGCACUUUCAGCGGGGAGGAAGGCGGUGAGGUUAAUAACCUCAUCGAUUGACGUUACCCGCAGAAGAAGCACCGGCUAACUCCGUGCCAGCAGCCGCGGGAAUACGGAGGGUGCAAGCGUUAAUCGGAAUUACUGGGCGUAAAGCGCACGCAGGCGGUCUGUCAAGUCGGAUGUGAAAUCCCCGGGCUCAACCUGGGAACUGCAUUCAAAGCUGGCAGGCUAGAGUCUUGUAGAGGGGGGUAGAAUUCCAGGUGUAGCGGUGAAAUGCGUAGAGAUCUGGAGGAAUACCGGUGGCGAAGGCGGCCCCCUGGACAAAGACUGACGCUCAGGUGCGAAAGCGUGGGGAGCAAACAGGAUUAGAUACCCGGGUAGUC